AUGGUAUAUUUUCUGCUCAUCAUUUUAUCAAUUCUGGUAGUGUUUGCAUUUGUUCUUGGAAAUUUUUCCAAUGGCUUCAUAGCUCUAGUAAAUGUCAUUGACUGGGUUAAGACACGAAAGAUCUCCUCAGCUGACCAAAUCCUCACUGCUCUGGUGGUCUCCAGAAUUGGUUUACUCUGGGUCAUAUUAUUACAUUGGUAUGCAAAUGUGUUUAAUUCAGCUUUAUAUAGUUCAGAAGUAGGAGCUGUUGCUUCUAAUAUCUCAGCAAUAAUCAACCAUUUCAGCAUCUGGCUUGCUGCUAGCCUCAGCAUAUUUUAUUUGCUCAAGAUUGCCAAUUUCUCCAACCUUAUUUUUCUCCACCUAAAGAAGAGAAUUAGGAGUGUUGUUCUGGUGAUACUGUUGGGUCCCUUGGUAUUUUUGAUUUGUAAUCUUGCUGUGAUAACCAUGGAUGACAGUGUGUGGACAAAAGAAUAUGAAGGAAAUGUGACUUGGAAGAUCAAAUUGAGGAAUGCAAUACACCUUUCAAACUUGACUGUAAGCACACUAGCAAACCUCAUACCCUUCAUUCUGACCCUAAUAUGUUUUCUGCUGUUAAUCUGUUCUCUGCAUAAACAUCUCAAGAAGAUGCAGCUCCAUGGCAAAGGAUCUCAAGAUCUCAGCACCAAGGUCCACAUAAAAGCUUUGCAAACUGUGAUCUCCUUCCUCAUGUUAUAUGCCAUUUACUUUCUGUAUCUAAUCACAUUAACCUGGAAUCUUUGAACACAGCAGAACAAACUUGUAUUCCUGCUUUGCCAAACUCUUGGAAUCAUGUAUCCUUCAUUCCACUCAUUCUUCCUGAUUAUGGGAAGCAGGAAACUAAAACAGACGUUUCUUUCAGUUUUAUGUCAGGUCACAUGCUUAGUGAAAGGACAGCAACCCUCAACUCCA
This 927-nucleotide long non-coding RNA is filed under the name Homo sapiens (human). RNAcentral's name for it is "non-protein coding lnc-TAS2R43-1:2". The record is from RNAcentral. Lineage: Eukaryota; Metazoa; Chordata; Mammalia; Primates; Hominidae.